UGAAGAAGAAGUACAACAGCACAGCGUCGUUGGUGGAAGGAUGUGAAAUUAAGUUUGAAAAAAAAACUUUCCUUAAAAAGUUCAUUUGAAUUAAGCCGUUCUCAUUGCCGGACGUGGAGGUGUAUUUGGAGGAUCUGAUGUGGAUGAAUGGAGAUGUGAGCGAAGGCCCGUGCUCUCAAAUAAGUUACUGUAAUUCCACGUGGAGGACAGAGGAACUGAAAGUGGUGCCAUCGUGGGGGCCAAAACCAUAGCUCUGAUCACCAUCUAUUUGCCUAUAACCCCAUCUGUGGGGUGGGCCACUAAUGGUCUUAGCCAGAUCCCCACAUCAAGCUCCUGGAAUUUACAAGGAUAUCCAUGUAGCUACAGUUUGGAGGUGAGUGCUUUGAAUAAGUGUGUUGAUGGCAAUCAGCUUCUACUGCUGUGGUGGGACAUGAUGCGAACAAAAGGCCGAAUUGUAGCGCUACUGCAAGGCAGUGUGUUCUCGAUGCAUCACGCAGUGACAAAAACCGACCGAAGCGUUUGUCUGAUCCCACAACAGCUUUUCUUCCUAGGUAAUGUGACAAAGGUCCUCAUCCACUCUGUUGGACCACUUUGGAUAUGAAUGUUUUCUGUUUCUUGAAUAAAUUAAUCGAUUAAAAAAACA
RNAcentral lists this long non-coding RNA (643 nucleotides) under Gouania willdenowi (blunt-snouted clingfish). Its description in RNAcentral is "lncRNA (ENSGWIG00000010576.1)". Lineage: Eukaryota; Metazoa; Chordata; Actinopteri; Blenniiformes; Gobiesocidae. The record is from RNAcentral.